UCCCUGCGGUGUGCGCAAUGCGGCAACAUUUUAGCCAACACUAUUAUGUAAGGGAAACCGAGCUUUUGCAGUGGUGUGUAUGCCCCCCGUAUAUCGGUCUGAGGGAAACCCGUAAGCUGUAAAUUAAGUUACCCACCUGCAGCGCAGGUUGAAAUACAGCCGCAAAACGGCACAGUGGGGAA
Molecule: non-coding RNA, 182 nt
Filed under: bovine gut metagenome
Description: 6S / SsrS RNA
Rfam family: 6S / SsrS RNA
About the family: E. coli 6S RNA was the first non coding RNA to be sequenced, but its function was unknown until recently.
Source: RNAcentral